GGGGAUGUAUUUGGUUUCGACAGUAUCCCAGAAGUAAGAAUAGCGAGUAGUGGAUUCGCCUGGCCACUUUAAAAGGCGAAAAAUAAAUAUAAACGCUGAUAAUAGAGAAUUAGCAUACGCUGCCUAGUUAAUGGUAGCUCGUCUUACUUUAAAUGCCCACGUUUAAAGAUUAAGGCGUCAUUUAGUGGGAAACGAACCUAUUUCUUGCCAUAGAAAUAGCAGGUAUUUUAAAUGGCUACCUUAAGAAUAAGUUUGUUUGUUAACUUAUUCUUAAGGGAAUAAUAAUAACAAACUACACUCGUAGAAGUUCUUGUGGAAAGGUUAUUGGACAGGAGUUCGACUCUCCUCAUCUCCACCA
Molecule: transfer-messenger RNA, 358 nt
Filed under: Clostridia
Lineage: Bacteria; Bacillati; Bacillota
Also listed under: 4 other names
Description: CAG-273 sp003507395 Standard tmRNA
Rfam family: transfer-messenger RNA
About the family: Bacterial tmRNA, also known as 10Sa RNA or SsrA, is named for its dual tRNA and mRNA-like properties. Its role is to liberate the mRNA from a stalled ribosome.
Source: RNAcentral